UUUCCGUAGGUGAACCUGCGGAAGGAUCAUUACUGAGUGAGGGCCCCUCGGGGUCCAACUUCCCACCCGUGUUUAACGAACCUUGUUGCUUCGGCGGGCCCGCCUCACGGCCGCCGGGGGGCAUCUUCCCCCGGGCCCGCGCCCGCCGAAGCCACCUGUGAACGCUGUCUGAAGUAUGCAGUCUGAGACAAUUAUUAAAUUAAUUAAAACUUUCAACAACGGAUCUCUUGGUUCCG
RNAcentral lists this unclassified non-coding RNA (236 nucleotides) under plant metagenome. RNAcentral's name for it is "partial contains small subunit ribosomal RNA, internal transcribed spacer 1, and 5.8S ribosomal RNA". The record is from RNAcentral.